RNAcentral lists this ribosomal RNA (254 nucleotides) under uncultured bacterium. Its description in RNAcentral is "partial 16S ribosomal RNA". It matches the Rfam family "Bacterial small subunit ribosomal RNA", at positions 524 to 776 of the family's 1533-position model. The record is from RNAcentral.
AACGGGGGGAAUAAGCGUUAGCCGUCGUUACUGGGCGUAAAGAGCUCGUAGGCGGUGUGUCGCGUCGGCCGUGAAAACCUGGGGCUUAACUCUGGGCUUGCGGUCGAUACGGGCAUCACUGGAGUUCGGCAGGGGAGACUGGAAUUCCUGGUGUAGCGGUGAAAUGCGCAGAUAUCAGGAGGAACACCGGUGGCGAAGGCGGGUCUCUGGGCCGAUACUGACGCUGAGGAGCGAAAGCGUGGGGAGCGAACAGG